Non-coding RNA from Sus scrofa (pig), 71 nucleotides. Lineage: Eukaryota; Metazoa; Chordata; Mammalia; Artiodactyla; Suidae. The record is from Rfam.
CUCUAGUUAGUCUAAUGGCUGGAGCUCCUGGUUUUCAUCCAGGCUGCCCAGGUUCAAUUCCUGAGAAGAGA